RNAcentral lists this transfer RNA (90 nucleotides) under Blumeria graminis f. sp. tritici. It matches the Rfam family "tRNA". Rfam says of the family: Transfer RNA (tRNA) molecules are approximately 80 nucleotides in length. Their secondary structure includes four short double-helical elements and three loops (D, anti-codon, and T loops). Further hydrogen bonds mediate the characteristic L-shaped molecular structure. tRNAs have two regions of fundamental functional importance: the anti-codon, which is responsible for specific mRNA codon recognition, and the 3' end, to which the tRNAs corresponding amino acid is attached (by aminoacyl-tRNA synthetases). tRNAs cope with the degeneracy of the genetic code in two manners: having more than one tRNA (with a specific anti-codon) for a particular amino acid; and 'wobble' base-pairing, i.e. permitting non-standard base-pairing at the 3rd anti-codon position. RNAcentral also lists the same sequence under 1 other name. The record is from Rfam by way of RNAcentral. Lineage: Eukaryota; Fungi; Ascomycota; Leotiomycetes; Helotiales; Erysiphaceae.
GGACAGAUGGCCGAGCUGGUUAUGGCGCCAGGUUAAGGAGUAUACAUCCUGGUCACGAAAGUGGCGUGGGUUCGAGUCCCACUCUGUUCA